GGUAAGGUGGCUGAGUAUUAAGCGAUGGAUUGUAAACCCAUAAACAGAGGUUCAAAUCCUCUCCCUACCA
Molecule: transfer RNA, 70 nt
Filed under: Johnius belangerii (Belanger's croaker)
Lineage: Eukaryota; Metazoa; Chordata; Actinopteri; Sciaenidae
Description: tRNA-Tyr
Rfam family: tRNA
About the family: Transfer RNA (tRNA) molecules are approximately 80 nucleotides in length. Their secondary structure includes four short double-helical elements and three loops (D, anti-codon, and T loops).
Source: RNAcentral